Molecule: ribosomal RNA, 253 nt
Filed under: uncultured bacterium
Lineage: Bacteria
Description: partial 16S ribosomal RNA
Rfam family: Bacterial small subunit ribosomal RNA
Source: RNAcentral
UACGUAGGGGGCAAGCGUUGUCCGGAAUCAUUGGGCGUAAAGGGCGCGUAGGCGGCUUCUUAAGCGGGCGGUGAAAGCCCGGGGCUCAACCCCGGGUCGGCCGUGCGAACUGGGAAGCUCGAGCCCACUAGAGGCAGGCGGAAUUCCGGGUGUAGCGGUGGAAUGCGUAGAGAUCCGGAAGAACACCGGUGGCGAAGGCGGCCUGCUGGGGUGGAGCUGACGCUGAGGCGCGACAGCGUGGGGAGCAAACAGG